Molecule: RNA transcript, 506 nt
Organism: Fragaria vesca subsp. vesca
Lineage: Eukaryota; Viridiplantae; Streptophyta; Magnoliopsida; Rosales; Rosaceae
Exons: 3
Source: RefSeq, a predicted model, not a curated record
AUGGGUGUCCUCCUCAGAAGCAGUGGUCGCUCUGCUCCUCUUUCUUUUCUGGGGAUCGAUCCGGGCUGUGCGGCGGCAACGUUUUCAGAUCGGCACUUUUACUUAUCCGAGUACUUCGACCAGCAGAGGCUCACAGGCUUCACAGCCCCAACUUCGUCGAGCAACGCUGCUUCCGCUUCUCAAAGUCCCGCUGGAGCUACCUUUCUCUUGAUUCAACUGUCGGGAGUUUUGGUUAUAAAGUUGAAGGAUAAGAAAACCUGCAUGCUAACGACAAUCGAGUCUUAAUCCACUACUGUGCAUUGAUGAAGUUACCCACCUCUAUCAUCAAUCGCGGAUAAGAGUUACCGAAAGUCACGCGCUCAGUGGGAUAACGGAGUCUCACGGGGACACUUAUUGAACAUGCCGAUCGCUGCUUGACACGUACUCCCGACAGCAAAAGUAGACAAGCUACUGCAUACAUUCCAGAACUCAUCUUGUUUGAGAAUCAUUGUUCCCAAGCCUGGACA